CAGCAGCCGCGGUAAUACGAAGGGUGCAAGCGUUACUCGGAAUUACUGGGCGUAAAGGGUGCGUAGGUGGUCUUUUAAGUCCGUUGUGAAAUCCCUGGGCUCAACCUGGGAAUGGCAGUGGAUACUGGAAGGCUAGAGUGCGGUAGAGGGUAGUGGAAUUCCCGGUGUAGCAGUGAAAUGCGUAGAGAUCGGGAGGAACACCAGUGGCGAAGGCGGCUACCUGGACCAGCACUGACACUGAAGCACGAAAGCGUGGGGAGCAAACAGGAUUAGAUACCCCCGUAGUCCCUGUCUCUUAUAC
RNAcentral lists this ribosomal RNA (301 nucleotides) under uncultured bacterium. RNAcentral describes it as "partial 16S ribosomal RNA". It matches the Rfam family "Bacterial small subunit ribosomal RNA", at positions 509 to 807 of the family's 1533-position model. The record is from RNAcentral.